GAUGAAGAACGUAGUAAAAUGCGAUAAGUAAUGUGAAUUGCAGAAUUCAGUGAAUCAUCGAAUCUUUGAACGCACAUUGCGCCCGCCAGUAUUCUGGCGGGCAUGCCUGUUCGAGCGUCAUUUCAACCCUCAAGCACAGCUUGGUGUUGGGACUCGCGUUAAUUCGCGUUCCCCAAAUUGAUUGGCGGUCACGUCGAGCUUCCAUAGCGUAGUAGUAAAACCCUCGUUACUGGUAAUCGUCGCGGCCACGCCGUUAAACCCCAACUUCUGAAUGUUGACCUCGGAUCAGGUAGGAAUACCCGCUGAACUCAAGCAUAUCAAUAAGCGGAGGA
Molecule: unclassified non-coding RNA, 332 nt
Filed under: soil metagenome
Description: partial contains 5.8S ribosomal RNA, internal transcribed spacer 2, and large subunit ribosomal RNA
Rfam family: 5.8S ribosomal RNA (bases 1-120)
Source: RNAcentral